GCCGGGGUAGCUCAAUCGGUAGAGCGUGUGGCUCUUAUCAUAAGAGACAACCUCAAGGUCGCGGGUUCGAGCCCCGCCUUCGGCU
This 85-nucleotide transfer RNA is filed under the name Dissoconium aciculare CBS 342.82. It matches the Rfam family "tRNA". From Rfam's summary of the family: Transfer RNA (tRNA) molecules are approximately 80 nucleotides in length. Their secondary structure includes four short double-helical elements and three loops (D, anti-codon, and T loops). Further hydrogen bonds mediate the characteristic L-shaped molecular structure. tRNAs have two regions of fundamental functional importance: the anti-codon, which is responsible for specific mRNA codon recognition, and the 3' end, to which the tRNAs corresponding amino acid is attached (by aminoacyl-tRNA synthetases). tRNAs cope with the degeneracy of the genetic code in two manners: having more than one tRNA (with a specific anti-codon) for a particular amino acid; and 'wobble' base-pairing, i.e. permitting non-standard base-pairing at the 3rd anti-codon position. The record is from Rfam by way of RNAcentral. Lineage: Eukaryota; Fungi; Ascomycota; Dothideomycetes; Mycosphaerellales; Dissoconiaceae.